This 492-nucleotide ribosomal RNA is filed under the name uncultured bacterium. RNAcentral describes it as "partial 16S ribosomal RNA". It matches the Rfam family "Bacterial small subunit ribosomal RNA", at positions 29 to 507 of the family's 1533-position model. The record is from RNAcentral.
AGUGAACGCUGGCGGUAGGCCUAACACAUGCAAGUCGAACGGCAGCACAGUAAGAGCUUGCUCUUACGGGUGGCGAGUGGCGGACGGGUGAGGAAUACAUCGGAAUCUACUUUUUCGUGGGGGAUAACGUAGGGAAACUUACGCUAAUACAGCAUACGACCUACGGGUGAAAGCAGGGGAUCUUCGGACCUUGCGCGAUUGAAUGAGCCGAUGUCGGAUUAGCUAGUUGGCGGGGUAAAGGCCCACCAAGGCGACGAUCCGUAGCUGGUCUGAGAGGAUGAUAGGCCACAUUGGAACGUGGACACGGUCCAGAGUACUGCGGGAGGCAGCAGAGGGGAAUAUUGGACAAUGGGGGCAAGCCUGAUCCAGCCAUACCGCGUGGGUGAAGAAGGCCUUCGGGUUGUAAAGCCCUUUUGUUGGGAAAGAAAAGCAGCAGGUUAAUACCCCGCUGUUCUGACGGUACCCAAAGAAUAAGCACCGGCUAACUUCGUG